UAAGUCUGUAGUGAAAUUGUGUGGCUCAACCAUACACCCAUUACGGAAACUGCUAAGCUAGAGGAUGAGAGAGGUUAUUGGAAUUCCUAGUGUAGGAGUGAAAUCCGUAGAUAUUAGGAGGAACACCGAUGGCGUAGGCAGAUAACUGGCUCAUUCCUGACGCUCAGGCACGAAAGCGUGGGAGCAAACGGGAUUAGAUACCCGGUAGUCCACGCCGUAAACGAUGGAUGCUA
This 233-nucleotide ribosomal RNA is filed under the name uncultured Candidatus Saccharibacteria bacterium. RNAcentral describes it as "partial 16S ribosomal RNA". It matches the Rfam family "Bacterial small subunit ribosomal RNA", at positions 584 to 818 of the family's 1533-position model. Lineage: Bacteria; Candidatus Saccharimonadota. The record is from RNAcentral.